RNAcentral lists this transfer RNA (73 nucleotides) under Stegodyphus mimosarum. It matches the Rfam family "tRNA". From Rfam's summary of the family: Transfer RNA (tRNA) molecules are approximately 80 nucleotides in length. Their secondary structure includes four short double-helical elements and three loops (D, anti-codon, and T loops). Lineage: Eukaryota; Metazoa; Arthropoda; Arachnida; Araneae; Eresidae. The record is from Rfam by way of RNAcentral.
GCCUUCGUGGUGUUAUGGUCAGCACAUUUGGCGCGUAUUCAAGAGGUCCGAGGUUCGAAUCCCGGCUAGGACA